GACGAACGCUGGCGGCGUGCUUAACACAUGCAAGUCGAACGGUGAAGGGACCAGCUUGCUGGUUCUGGAUGAGUGGCGAACGGGUGAGUAACGCGUGAGUAACCUGCCCCCUUCUUCUGGAUAACCGCAUGAAAGUGUGGCUAAUACGGGAUAUUCUGGGUCUGUCGCAUGGCGGGCCCGGGAAAGAUGUUGCUUCGGUGGGGGAUGGGCUCGCGGCCUAUCAGCUUGUUGGUGGGGUGAUGGCCUACCAAGGCGGUGACGGGUAGCCGGCCUGAGAGGGGGGACGGUCACACUGGGACUGAGACACGGCCCAGACUCCUACGGGAGGCAGCAGUGGGGAAUAUUGCACAAUGGGCGCAAGCCUGAUGCAGCGACGCCGCGUGAGGGAUGGAGGCCUUCGGGUUGUAAACCUCUUUCGCCAGUGAAGCAGGCCUGCUCCUUGUGGGUGGGUUGACGGUAGCUGGAUAAGAAGCGCCGGCUAACUACGUG
RNAcentral lists this ribosomal RNA (489 nucleotides) under uncultured bacterium. Its description in RNAcentral is "partial 16S ribosomal RNA". It matches the Rfam family "Bacterial small subunit ribosomal RNA", at positions 28 to 507 of the family's 1533-position model. The record is from RNAcentral.